GACGAACGCUGGCGGCGCGCCUAACACAUGCAAGUCGAACGAGCGAGAGAGAGCUUGCUUUCUCAAGCGAGUGGCGAACGGGUGAGUAACGCGUGAGGAACCUGCCUCAAAGAGGGGGACAACAGUUGGAAACGACUGCUAAUACCGCAUAAGCCCACGGCUCGGCAUCGAGCAGAGGGAAAAGGAGCAAUCCGCUUUGAGAUGGCCUCGCGUCCGAUUAGCUAGUUGGUGAGGUAACGGCCCACCAAGGCGACGAUCGGUAGCCGGACUGAGAGGUUGAACGGCCACAUUGGUACUGAGACACGGCCCAGACUCCUACGGGAGGCAGCAGUGGGGAAUAUUGCACAAUGGGGGAAACCCUGAUGCAGCGACGCCGCGUGGAGGAAGAAGGUCUUCGGAUUGUAAACUCCUGUUGUUGAGGAAGAUAAUGACGGUACUCAACAAGGAAGUGACGGCUAACUACGUGCCAGCAGCCGCGGUAAAACGUAGGUCACAAGCGUUGUCCGGAAUUACUGGGUGUAAAGGGAGCGCAGGCGGGAAGACAAGUUGGAAGUGAAAUCCAUGGGCUCAACCCAUGAACUGCUUUCAAAACUGUUUUUCUUGAGUAGUGCAGAGGUAGGCGGAAUUCCCGGUGUAGCGGUGGAAUGCGUAGAUAUCGGGAGGAACACCAGUGGCGAAGGCGGCCUACUGGGCACCAACUGACGCUGAGGCUCGAAAGUGUGGGUAGCAAACAGGAUUAGAUACCCUGGUAGUCCACACUGUAAACGAAGGAUUACUAGGUGUUGGAGGAUUGACCCCUUCAGUGCCGCAGUUAACACAAUAAGUAAUCCACCUGGGGAGUACGACCGCAAGGUUGAAACUCAAAGGAAUUGACGGGGGCCCGCACAAGCAGUGGAGUAUGUGGUUUAAUUCGACGCAACGCGAAGAACCUUACCAAGUCUUGACAUCCCUUGACGAUGCUGGAAACAGUAUUUCUCUUCGGAGCAAGGAGACAGGUGGUGCAUGGUUGUCGUCAGCUCGUGUCGUGAGAUGUUGGGUUAAGUCCCGCAACGAGCGCAACCCUUAUGGUCAGUUACUACGCAAGAGGACUCUGGCCAGACUGCCGUUGACAAAACGGAGGAAGGUGGGGAUGACGUCAAAUCAUCAUGCCCUUUAUGACUUGGGCUACACACGUACUACAAUGGCGUUAAACAAAGAGAAGCAAGACCGCGAGGUGGAGCAAAACUCAGAAACAACGUCCCAGUUCGGACUGCAGGCUGCAACUCGCCUGCACGAAGUCGGAAUUGCUAGUAAUCGCAGAUCAGCAUGCUGCGGUGAAUACGUUCCCGGGCCUUGCAC
Molecule: ribosomal RNA, 1338 nt
Filed under: uncultured bacterium
Lineage: Bacteria
Description: 16S ribosomal RNA
Rfam family: Bacterial small subunit ribosomal RNA
Source: RNAcentral